CAAAAGGGACCAUGGUAUUCAACACUUAUCCUAAAGGCCACUACACGGCCAACCGCACCAAAAGCCCCAAAACAGAUAAGGAUGAAGGCCAAGAGUUAAGUUCACCUAUAUCACAUAUCCGGUAGCUCAAGCGUGCGCAGUCAGAGGUUUUUUUUUAAGCAUGUGCUAAUUAAUGAUGAUUAACAAAGGGACACAUGUGCAAUGAAUGAUACACAUCCAAACUCUCUCCUCUCAGUCAUCAGAACCUCACCGGAAACGGGGGCUCCGCCACGCCGAAGGCGGCGGAGCGGCCGAACGCCCAUUUCGACCACCCAAAGCAUCCGUCUUGACAACCUCUCUCUAAACCAACUCUUCGCUUUUAUCAAUUCUCAGCCAAUAAUUUGAAUUGAAGAACGAAAGCCAGAACCCUAGAACAAGAAAAACUGAAAUUAAACCUCUCCCACGGCUCGGUUCGUUACCUAAUCUUGGUGUUAAAGCCUAUCUACCUCAAUUCUAUCAACUGGAAACAAGAAAAAGAGAAGUCCAAAGAAGUUCACUAACCUUCGGAAUCGGGAAUUGCUCCGACCAAGCUCGAGAAUGUCAGAGAUAAAGAUGGGACGAACGUCUGAGAAUCAGAUAAACUUUAGAACUCUUCGACGCUUGACUCUCUUCUUCUUCUUCUUCUUCUUCUUCUUCUUCUCUGCUUUAGUCUGUAGGAUGUGUUGUGGCUGUGACGUUGUGGUCACCGAUGGAUUGUGAAUUGCAGGUCGUUCGUGAAGAUUGGAUUGGUCGAAGAUAGGAGAGUCGAAAUUCUGCAGAAGAUACAGAAUGGAUUGAAGAAAUGUUGAAGAAGGAGAUGGAAGAAUCCAGGUUCUGCAGAAGAUUGGAAGGUGAGGGGAUUAAAGCUCUUGAAGAAGUUGGUGACUCAAAGUGCCGAGUGCAGCACUGAAGGAGAGGAUUCUUUUGAAUGAACUGAAGGUUUCCUCUUUGUUGAUUGAACAAUGAGCUCCUCUUCUUCAAUCCUCUAGCUCUUGUAUGCACGUGCAGUUAUGAAUGAACGAGUUGUAAAAAUCCAAAUCUGAACCUCCUCCCAAUCUGGAUCAUGAACCCCAAUAUAUAGGAAGGUUAUCACCAUGUCUUUGCUUGGACUGUUUGUGGGACAGUGAGGAUAGAUCAUGGCGGUUAGGAAUUUCUACGGACCAUUGGACAUGGAGAAGACUUUGAACCUAACUUAUAUGGUGAUGCCGUUUGAAAUGAUUAUGUACAUAAAUUGCCAUUAAGUUAUAAGUGAUAUGAUUAAUGUGAUGGACCUUAUGCCA
Molecule: long non-coding RNA, 1298 nt
Organism: Lathyrus oleraceus (garden pea)
Lineage: Eukaryota; Viridiplantae; Streptophyta; Magnoliopsida; Fabales; Fabaceae
Exons: 2
Source: RefSeq, a predicted model, not a curated record